RNAcentral lists this ribosomal RNA (522 nucleotides) under uncultured bacterium. Its description in RNAcentral is "bacterial SSU rRNA". It matches the Rfam family "Bacterial small subunit ribosomal RNA", at positions 11 to 528 of the family's 1533-position model. The record is from RNAcentral.
GUUUGAUCAUGGCUCAGGAUGAACGCUAGCGGCAGGCCUAAUACAUGCAAGUCGAACGGUAAGUGUUAUAGCAAUAUGGCACCAAGAGUGACGCACGGGUGCGUAACACGUAUGCAACCUACCCUUUACAGGCGGAUAGCUCGGGGAAACUCGAAUUAACCCGCCAUAAUAUAAUUGAAUGGCAUCAUUUGAUUAUUAAAUCUGCGGAGGUAAAGGAUGGGCAUGCGUCUGAUUAGUUAGUUGGUAGUGUAACGGACUACCAAGACGAUGAUCAGUAGGGGAACUGAGAGGUUGAUCCCCCACACUGGCACUGAGAUACGGGCCAGACUCCUACGGGAGGCAGCAGUAGGGAAUAUUGGUCAAUGGGUGAGAGCCUGAACCAGCCAUGCCGCGUGCAGGAAGAAGGCCUUCUGGGUUGUAAACUGCUUUUGCCAGGGGAUAAAAAUACCUUGCGAAGUUAAAUUGAAGGUACCUGGUGAAUAAGCCACCGCUAACUACGUNCCAGCAGCCGCGGUAAUACGU